UUCAAUUAGAUUGAUCCUUUUCUUUGUUGUUGCUUCUUAUUUCUUUGUGUCCAGAAUGUUAAAGAGGAUGAAAAGACCUGCUCAAGUUGCCCACCAGAAUGUUCAUCAGUCACCAAAAUGGUUAAUCCUUCAAUGGAUGAUGCAUUGGAAGAGAAACAAAAGUACAAUUGGAUUCCUGUGUAACUGGUGAAGCCUUGGUAUAGACACUUUGAUCAGCUUUUAUUAUACAUUGUACAUCAACUUGGGUGACAGUGAUCUUAAUAAGGUUAUCAACUACUGAUUGUCUUUUACUGGUUCACUGAUUAACAAUAACAAUUUAAAUUAGACCAAGUAAAUUGCCUUUCCAAUUGUGUGUUUCAUGAUAUGUAAUAUGAAGAGUCAGUGUGACAGGCAGCUAAAGAGUUAACACCAAGAUGUAACAUGUGAGAUCCAAAAAAACCGGAAAACAGCUUUGAGAAGAAAACAAAAUAAUCUUUCCUUUUUUUGCUGAUUAGGGUGAAAAUUAACUGCUUUUAUCAGGAUUCCUACAAUAUUGUUAAAGUUGACUAGACACUGAUUAUAAGGCUGAAUAUUAUUAUGACAUGGAUGGUGGUGAUGAAAGGGAUAAUGAAACAAAAGUAAACUGAAAGUUGACUGUUUACUUAUGUCUUUCAAGUUACGAAGUAAACACGUUUCCAGAUGAUUUAUCAAGGUACAAUCUAUUUAAUUAGAUUUAUUCGUACAUUCAGGUUCGACCUUUUCACUCUUACAAUAGGCACAAAUACAAACAAAACAAUCUAAAAUAUCAUAACGGAACAAUCAUCAGACGUAACAGAUGAUUGGUAAGCUCAUAUUACGUAGUAAGUCCACAGUUUAUGUAUGCAAACAUAUACUGUAAUGUUACUAACAACAAUCACAAAACCAGAGUAAACAAAAUAGAAACAAUAAACUAAUCAGUUAAUUAUGUAUCAUUCCAUUGAUUAUUUACACUAUUAGUAGAUCAAUUAAGAGCAAGUAAUUACAAAAUAAAAGUAUUUAAGCUGAAAUGGUCAAGAAAAAAAUCAUUUAACCCGUAACAGCCUCAGAUCUUAAUUAUAACACUUUCCCUGAAAAAAACCGUUGGAAAGAUUUUGUCUUAACAGUUUAGCUAUUGAAUGGCUAUUUAUCGUAUGUUAUUGUUUGUGGCAGUCGAUUUAAUUUAACUAAAUCAUUUUCCUGUGACAACCUUUGAUUUAAAUUGUCAAGUCUAUGAUUUUCAAAUAUUUAUGUUCAUCUGUGAUACUGACUUACCUAUUUUUAUCAUUUGAAAUUGAGUUUAUCUGUCUCGAGAAACCUACAAAAUCUUUGGGUUAAAGGAUUAGGUUUCCUCUCAGUGAUUGUUUUAUUAUUAAUUUAGGUUCAACCAAUCAACUAAAUCUCUUGGACUUCAGUAAAUUCAGUUUCAAACAAUGUCAUAUAAUCUUUGUUUUGUUUCACACUGCAGUAAACAAUGUUACCUUAUAUUUGUAACCUUCUGGUUUACUGGUUGCUUUAAAAUAAUCAAUCCUGUAUUGUGAUAGUGUUUUGUUUCUUUCACUGAAAAGGGAGUCAAAGGUUAAUUAUUACGAGAAUGCCCUGAGCUUUUUUUUUAAAAAUAAAACGAGUUAACGUCAUGAGAAUUGGAAAUUCAAUGAAACUUGCCUCACAACACCUUCCAAGCAGACAGAGAAUACAAAAUGAAUGAACAAAAAGAUAUAUUACAUUAUAACUUAAUUCAACUGGGUUGAAUUAUGAUAUCAGAUUAUUUUUGACAUACAACUAACAUACAUACCUACACAUUCAUGUAUAUACAUGAAAAGGUGAAACUUGAAAAUCAUGUUUCACCAUGUUGUCUACAUUUCUACUUGGAUCACGAUACAGAAAGGAUAUUCAGCUAACCAUUAUCAACGAGAUGAUAAUAAUAACGUUUGUUAACCAAAUGAAUUAUAUGCUGCCAAUGGAUAAAUUACAACUCUGAAUGAAUUCAUUUUCAUAAUGAAAUAAUUGGAUAUUUAAGGAUCUCAUCUAACCAUUUUUACGUGCUUUAUUGGAUCCAGCAAUGAUUUCAAGGGAUUCAGUGUGUAAUUAUUACCUCAGCUUUACAAUUGGCUAAAUUUACCCGGAACAAUGGCUUGGAACCUCAUUACCAACUCAAGGAUUAGUUCAUUGCUAACGCAAACAGAUCCUAUCACUGAAUCACCCAAAUUUUCAUGGAUCUAACUCAUUGAUCUACCAGUAAAAGUGAAAUGCAAAACUGGUUACAUGUAAAAAUGAGUCCAACAUCUGAUAUGGCUGCACCAAAAAUCAAUAAAUACUUAGGACCAAACCAAAGCCAAGUAACUACCCAAAGAAUCAUGAAAGUUGUUGAAAGACUGUUGAAAUGAUGACACUAAGCUUUUGCCUCUGCUUCUGAUGAUGAUAAUGGUAAUGAUAAUGAUGAUAUUAUGAUCUCUAUUUCUUGUUCAUCCUUUAAGCCAUCAUCAUGGGACUUGACAUGUUUAAUGAAAACGAAUGAAACCAAAUGUGAAAUAAGAAGCUAAGCCUUUCUUUUCACUAUAAAAAUAUCUAUUUUUUCAUCUCUACAUUGAUAUAUAACAGUUGAAAAAAAGGUCAUUUAACCUUGUUACAUUUCAUCACUUGAUUAUCAUCAAAAUUAACCUCUCUUCAUUUAA
This is a long non-coding RNA of Tetranychus urticae (two-spotted spider mite), 2669 nucleotides long. RefSeq lists it as uncharacterized. The record is from RefSeq and is a predicted model, not a curated record. NCBI's taxonomy places the organism in Eukaryota, Metazoa, Arthropoda, Arachnida, Trombidiformes, Tetranychidae.